CGCAAGCCUGACGGAGCAAGACCGCGUGGGGGAGGAAGGCUCUUGGGUUGUAAACCCCUUUUCUCAGGGAAGAACCAAAUGACGGUACCUGAGGAAUCAGCCUCGGCUAACUCCGUGCCAGCAGCCGCGGUAAUACGGAGGAGGCAAGCGUUAUCCGGAAUGAUUGGGCGUAAAGCGUUCGUAGGUGGCUAUUCAAGUCUGCUGUCAAAGACAGAAGCUCAACUUCUGAAAGGCAGUGGAAACUGAGUAGCUGGAGUGCGGUAGGGGCGGAGGGAAUUCCCGGUGUAGCGGUGAAAUGCGUAGAGAUCGGGAAGAACACCGGUGGCGAAAGCGCUCUGCUGGGCCGCAACUGACACUGAGGGGCGAAAGCUAGGGGAGCG
RNAcentral lists this ribosomal RNA (380 nucleotides) under uncultured cyanobacterium. RNAcentral describes it as "bacterial SSU rRNA". It matches the Rfam family "Bacterial small subunit ribosomal RNA", at positions 376 to 770 of the family's 1533-position model. Lineage: Bacteria; Bacillati; Cyanobacteriota. The record is from RNAcentral.